CUGUGGUAAUUCUAGAGCUAAUACAUGCACCAAAGCUCUGAUUUCUUGACGAGCGCAUCUAUUAGAUUAAAACCAAUCGGGUUUCUACCCGUCAUUUGGUGACUCUGAAUAGCUAUGGCUGAUCGCAUGGUCUUGUACCGGCGACAUAUCUAUCAAGUGUCUGCCUUAUCAACUUUCGAUGGUAGUUUAUGUGCCUACCAUGGUUGUAACGGGUAACGGAGAAUAAGGGUUCGACUCCGGAGAGGGAGCCUGAGAAACGGCUACCACAUCCAAGGAAGGCAGCAGGCGCGCAAAUUACCCACUCUCGGCAUGAGGAGGUAGUGACGAAAAAUAACGAGACCGUUCUCUUUGAGGCCGGUUAUCGGAAUGGGUACAAUUUAAACCCGUUAACGAGGAUCUAUGAGAGGGCAAGUCUGGUGCCAGCAGCCGCGGUAAUUCCAGCUCUCAAAGUGUAUAUCGUCAUUGCUGCGGUUAAAAAGCUCGUAGUUGGAUCUUCGUCUCAGGACUCAGUCCGUCUUAUGGACGUGAACUGGGCUCCUAGACUAAUAUUGCCGGUUUUCUUUGUGUUGCCUUCAUUGGUCGCACAAGGUGGCCAGCUAGUUUACCUUGAAAAAAUUAGAGUGCUCAAAGCGGGCUAAUGCCUGAAUAUUCGUGCAUGGAAUAAUGAAAUAGGAUCUCGGUUCUAUUUUGUUGGUUUUCUGAUCUGAGAUAAUGGUUAAGAGGGACGGACGGGGGCAUUCGUAUCGCUGCGUGAGAGGUGAAAUUCUUGGACCGUAGCGAGACGCCCGACUGCGAAAGCAUUUGCCAAGAAUGUCUUCAUUAAUC
RNAcentral lists this ribosomal RNA (825 nucleotides) under Skrjabinoptera vietnamensis. Its description in RNAcentral is "SSU rRNA". It matches the Rfam family "Eukaryotic small subunit ribosomal RNA", at positions 147 to 978 of the family's 1831-position model. The record is from RNAcentral. Lineage: Eukaryota; Metazoa; Nematoda; Chromadorea; Rhabditida; Physalopteridae.